This 406-nucleotide ribosomal RNA is filed under the name uncultured bacterium. RNAcentral's name for it is "partial 16S ribosomal RNA". It matches the Rfam family "Bacterial small subunit ribosomal RNA", at positions 30 to 526 of the family's 1533-position model. The record is from RNAcentral.
AUUGAACGCUGGCGGCAGGCUUAACACAUGCAAGUCGAGCGAGCGGCGGACGGGUGAGUAAUGUCUGGGAAACUGCCUGAUGGAGGGGGAUAACUACUGGAAACGGUAGCUAAUACCGCAUACCAUCAGAUGUGCCCAGAUGGGAUUAGCUAGUAGGUGGGGUAAUGGCUCACCUAGGCGACGCUCCCUAGCUGGUCUGAGAGGAUGACAAGCAACACUGGAACUGGGAACCGGUCCAGACACCUACGGGAGGGAGCAGUGGGGAAUUUUGCACAAUGGGCGCAAGCCUGAUGCAGCCAUGCCGCGUGUGUGAAGAAGGCCGUCGGGUUGUAAAGCACUUGCAGCGAGGAGUCGUUACUCGCAGAAGAAGCACCGGCUAACUCCGUGCCAGCAGCCGCGGUAAUAC